This 165-nucleotide ribosomal RNA is filed under the name Orobanche cf. raddeana HST 7763. RNAcentral's name for it is "5.8S ribosomal RNA". It matches the Rfam family "5.8S ribosomal RNA". Rfam says of the family: 5.8S ribosomal RNA (5.8S rRNA) is a component of the large subunit of the eukaryotic ribosome. It is transcribed by RNA polymerase I as part of the 45S precursor that also contains 18S and 28S rRNA. The record is from RNAcentral. Lineage: Eukaryota; Viridiplantae; Streptophyta; Magnoliopsida; Lamiales; Orobanchaceae. RNAcentral also lists the same sequence under 1 other name.
AAAUGACUCUCGGCAACGGAUAUCUCGGCUCUCGUAUCGAUGAAGAACGUAGCGAAAUGCGAUACUUGGUGUGAAUUGCAGAAUCCCGUGAACCAUCGAGUCUUUGAACGCAAGUUGCGCCUGAAGCCUUAUGGCUAAGGGCACGCCUGCCUGGGCGUCACACAU